UUGAAUACGAUUGGUACUGAUGCUGGCUCUUUACUGAGCAUGUGCUCGUUCCAUCUAUUUAUCUUCUCUUGUGCACAUCUUGUGGUCUUGAAUUGAAACCUCUCGCAUUCGUGCGGCUUGGGAGUCUGAUUAAACUCUGCUCCUGCUUCGUUCAAGAUCAUGUUUUCAUAUACACUAUAAAGUUACAGAAUGUCUUUUAACGAUUGCGCAAGCAGUCAUUAAACCUAUA
Molecule: unclassified non-coding RNA, 229 nt
Filed under: uncultured fungus
Lineage: Eukaryota; Fungi
Description: sequence contains ITS1, 5.8S rRNA gene
Source: RNAcentral